GGCGGGGCGAGCACCCUCCCGCCCACGGGCCGCAGCGGGUGGCGGCGGUGCCCGGACGAGCGCCGAGGGAACCGCGGACGGGGCGGGGUCGGGCGGCGGAGCUGCGGCGGCUGCAGCUGCCGGGCCGGCAAGUGCGGGCUCGUCGACGUUCCCCGCCCAGCGCGGCGGCUCCAGGCGCGUCCCUGUGAGCGGCCUGCCCCGAGGCCUGCCCUUGGCUCGCGGCGCCUCUGAGGGCGGCGGGAACCGCCUCGGCUUCUCUGAGGAGGUCGUGUGGCGCGCGCGGCCGAGCGCCCAUCUGAGGGACGGCGCCGAGCGGCGGGAACGGGGCUGCGCGCCGCUGUCACUGCUCGUCUCCACAGCCUGGUGCCAGCUCCGUCCAGGGCCGCAUUGGUGGAAAAAUGUGUAUUUUUCACGAAACAUCAGAUGUAUAAAUGCUGUAUAUGAGAUACAGAGAUGCAUUUUCAUAUGUUUUGACAUUCGGUUAAAUUUAAUGCAUCUUUGUAAUUCUCAGAAGACAGCCGCUAAGAGUGAUGUGAACGCUGAACAUGUUUUCUGUGUUCAGACACUGAAGGGAGAUGACAUUCAGCAAACCGUGUUACAGUGCCAGUGCUCCGCAUGGACAAAACUCCGGAAUGCGCAGAGGUGUCCUGCAGUCGGGCCCGUGAGAAGCAAUUUGGGCACGGUGCCACCUGGCUGAGCAGCAGUGACUCCGCAGCAGACGAGCCAGGACUGGAAGCUGCCGGCUCCUUCUGCAGCACCCAGGUCCCAACUGCACAUCCUGGGAAGCUGGCUGGGUUCUCUAGCUAAAACACUGACCCCUUCCUCCUGCUGCAAAGGCUAUCGCUUCUUGCUUGAUUACAUCCAGAGGCAAAAGAUUAAUAGAAGAUGUCAUUAUAGAAAUGGAACUGUUUUCUAAUAGAAGUGAGGAGAAUAGCAACAGUAGAAAGUGAAGAAAGGGAUGUCAUGUCCCAUUUCUGCACAACUCCUUGCUCUGCAGUCCAGCACAACACACAUAGAAAGAACUAACUGGACUACGGGGUUGUAUCAGUUGACUUGAAAUUGUGAAACUCACCUCUGAAGAGAACAGGAUAACCAUAUAGACUGGAAGAAGGCUUGACUUCCUUCAAAAGACUUCCCUUCAGCUGAGGUUCAUCUGGAUGUUCACCAUCAUCUCCAAAGCAAACAAAUGAUCUCGUCUGAAUGGGAACCUGACUUGGGGAAAAUCUUCUCAAGCGAGGAAGACUAUCCACAGACCUUGGGGCAGUCAAGCCAUCUACGUAAGACAUUGAUGUGGACCUUCUGAUGACUCCUAAGCAAAAUUAACAUGGAAUCCAAGGCCAGAAGUACGAGAAGUCUGCUACCUCAAAUUCCAAUCUGUAGUUGGCAUGUUGUAAAGUGUCAUUACAAAUGCAUCAGGACCAAGGAGAACUGGAUUGUUUUAAACUCUGUGGAAAAGGCCCUUCUGCAUGAAGCCCAUGUUCUACAUGUUUGCCAAAUGUCCCACUACAGGUUAACAAAUGCAACAACAAUUCAAGUUGAAGUUUCCAGUAUGCCUUAUUUCCAGAUUAGAACAAAGAAGCAGGACAACCAGCCAACUAACACCCACUACUUCCCUUCAAAUAACGACUGAGGAGGGUUUAGUCCCUCCUGGGAGGGAAAUCCCUUGAACCAUUCACUGGUUGAACCUUCCUUUUCACUCCUCAUCGCCACUCCUUUUAAACCAGCCCGAUGGGAAGGUAGUCCCUGUGCUACCCUCUCCAUCCAUCUCCAAGUGCCUCACCAAGCACAGCCAGCUGCUCUUCUGGGUCCUUACAGAGCCCAGAUGCACACCUACAUAGGCUUACACAGGACAGCAGCCUGAUCUCCACUGCUGCCUUGAGAGGAGGGAAAGCUGCACAGCACUACUGGAUGAAGCCCAGUCCUUAAUUUCUAGGAUUAACCUAUGCAAUAUAUACAACCAACAUUCUUUUCAUAUCACAGAGGACGCAGUGCUCAUGGUAUCUUCUACUCCUGUUGUUAGCAAAGUCACCAACUACUUCACAUAGGUGUCUUGUAUUGUGAUGCAUCUCACACUGACUCCAUCAAAGAGCGCGUGCUAUGCUCUUUGUGCUUGACCACAUAGCACCAAGUCAGGACACCUAGUGCAGUUCCCUAAGGCAAACACUGUUGUACCAAGAACUCAAUUUUUUUUCUUGAAGCUUUUUCCAGCAACAUAUCAGUGGUUUGAUUCUUUUGUGUUAUUUCUGGCACCAUUAAGAGUGUAACAGACUUUUACACAAGAAGUGUCAUAGUGCCACCUACUGAACACUAUGAGUCACCCUGAAAAUAAAGAGAAAUUUUUGUUGAUUGACACCUGAAAGCACAAUGCUAA
RNAcentral lists this long non-coding RNA (2371 nucleotides) under Gallus gallus (chicken). Lineage: Eukaryota; Metazoa; Chordata; Aves; Galliformes; Phasianidae. The record is from RNAcentral.